RNAcentral lists this ribosomal RNA (484 nucleotides) under uncultured bacterium. Its description in RNAcentral is "partial 16S ribosomal RNA". It matches the Rfam family "Bacterial small subunit ribosomal RNA", at positions 29 to 507 of the family's 1533-position model. The record is from RNAcentral.
AUUGAACGCUGGCGGCAUGCUUUACACAUGCAAGUCGAACGGCAGCGCGGGCUUCGGCCUGGCGGCGAGUGGCGAACGGGUGAGUAAUACAUCGGAACGUGCCCAGUAGUGGGGGAUAGCUCGGCGAAAGCCGGAUUAAUACCGCAUACGACCUGAGGGUGAAAGCGGGGGAUCUUCGAACCUCGCGCUAUGGGAGCGGCCGAUGGCAGAUUAGCUAGUUGGUGGGGUAAAGGCCUACCAAGGCGACGAUCUGUAGCUGGUCUGAGAGGACGACCAGCCACACUGGGACUGAGACACGGCCCAGACUCCUACGGGAGGCAGCAGUGGGGAAUUUUGGACAAUGGGCGAAAGCCUGAUCCAGCAAUGCCGCGUGUGUGAUGAAGGCCUUCGGGUUGUAAAGCACUUUUGGCGGGAACGAAAAGGACUGUGCCAAUACCACGGUUCGAUGACGGUACCCGCAGAAUAAGCACCGGCUAACUACGUG